Molecule: long non-coding RNA, 650 nt
Organism: Carassius gibelio (silver crucian carp)
Lineage: Eukaryota; Metazoa; Chordata; Actinopteri; Cypriniformes; Cyprinidae
Exons: 3
Source: RefSeq, a predicted model, not a curated record
GCCAACGCACUGCGGAUAAUUUCGUUGUAUAUUUGAUAUUGUGUGAUAUUCACGAUAAUGGCUAUUAUAAUCCCCGUAUUCUUGUCACUUUGGGUGCUUCUCAUUUCUUAUUUGUGACAAAUCAGGUUCUCCCUCGAAAUCGGGUCUCUGUUAGGACACCAAGAGAUCUCAAAUUAAUUGUAAUAGGUACAUAAAUAAAUAAUAAUAAUUUAAUAGAUUAGCCAUUUUUUACAAGUAAUAAAUGAAAUGCACAGGUUGAAUAAUUAAUACUAUCAUUCAAUUAUUUGAUUUACUUAAAUUAUAUGUUAAGUUUUUUUGUGCUAUUUUUAAGUUGCAUUUAAGUUGAUAGCUUGUCAUUUCUGGUCUUUGAAAUUUGUUUUCUUUUCAAAUUAUUUAAUUUGAUUCUAUAUAUUGGAAUUGUUUUGUAACCUUUUUAUGUUUUAACUGAUCCAUGUUUCUCUUUGUAUUACAGGUAAAAAUCAUUGGUGAAGUCACCAGAUGUGGAUGGCGUGUAUGUUGUUCGACAUUGCAGCGUGCUGAUGAGUUAAUAAAGAGGCAGCAAAAACCUGGGAUCUGCAUUGGCCCUGUCAAGUCUGGAGAGUGUUUUUACCAUUUAAUGAAUUAAAUUGUAAUAAAAGUUUUUAAAUGGA